UGGGGAAUCUUGGACAAUGGGGGCAACCCUGAUCCAGCCAUGCCGCGUGAGUGAUGAAGGCCUUAGGGUCGUAAAGCUCUUUCGCCUGUGAAGAUAAUGACGGUAGCAGGUAAAGAAACCCCGGCUAACUCCGUGCCAGCAGCCGCGGUAAUACGGAGGGGGUUAGCGUUGUUCGGAAUUACUGGGCGUAAAGCGCACGUAGGCGGACCAGAAAGUUGGGGGUGAAAUCCCGGGGGCUCAACCCCGGAACUGCCUCCAAAACUAUUGGUCUAGAGUUCGAGAGAGGUGAGUGGAAUUCCAAGUGUAGAGGUGAAAUUCGUAGAUAUUUGGAGGAACACCAGUGGCGAAGGCGGCUCACUGGCUCGAUACUGACGCUGAGGUGCGAAAGUGUGGGGAGCAAACAGGAUUAGAUGCCCUGGUAGUCCACACCGUAAAACGAUGAAUGCCAGUCGUCGGGUAGCAUGCUAUUCGGUGACACACCU
Molecule: ribosomal RNA, 482 nt
Filed under: uncultured bacterium
Lineage: Bacteria
Description: bacterial SSU rRNA
Rfam family: Bacterial small subunit ribosomal RNA
Source: RNAcentral